UGCGUUCUUUCCCCUGAGUAGGUCUCGGCUACCUCCGCAGCCCAACCAAUGAGAUUUCUCCGUGUCUUGUGAGCUUGAUUAGUCUCAUCUCUGUGAUUUGUGAGGUUUGGUUUGUGCACAGAACAACUGCUAUAGUUUUGAAAAUUUCUUGAAUUGUUACUUUGUUAGAUAGAAACUACUCCAAAAUAGAGUUUAAAGAAAUGAGAUUCAGACAUUAGACUCCAAAUGAAGUGAUGGUUUAAUUGAAUGAUUAGGUAGAAAAUACUCAUUGGAGCAACAGUACCAGCUGAUAUGGUCGUGUUCUGAAAGUAGACCAUAACCAUACGUGUAGGCUUUUCAUAAUCCAAUAUGUUACCUGCAGCUGAGGAUUUAUGUGGAAUACAGAUUACUCUAUACUUUUAUGACCAACUCGUUAUUGUUACUCACAACCUUUUCAGUUCAGGCUAGAACAAGAAAGCCAAAGUGUCAUGUCUUGCCCCUAAAUUUCAUUUUGCAUAGUCAAUAAAUUAGAAAUGGCUAGUACGGUAAUACCUUUAAUAACAGGAAUGUGAAUUUUGUAAGCUAGCUAGGCCAUACAUGCACUUCCAUCUCUGUCAUACAAGUUGGGCAAACUUUGUGUUUGGAUAUGUACUGCACUAAUUGAUAUAGGUAAUUAUAUUCUUGAUGCUACACGAGGUUUGUCUCCUUUUAUCGCCUGCUAAUUGAUGAUUGGUGAUUAUAGUAGGGCAUGGAUGCUGAUUUAUUUAUUUUUUGCUAAGAGUUUGUAUCAUGUGCCUUUCUGUUCUCAUAGUGAAAUGACAAUGGUGCCAAUAUGGUAUAAGAAUUAUGAUGCUUUAAAUGCUGAUAGGGCCAUUUACGUCCUCUGAUUCGUUGCCCGAGCAGAUCUACAGCAUCCUCUACUUCUUAACUGAUGGUGACAUUUCUUUGCUAUUCCUACAAUAUAGAUAAAUGAUAUUCUACUAUUAGUUUUCCAUUUCCUGAAACGACACCUUUCAGUUCACUAUUCUGCUGUGCUAGAUUGCAUUCCUUGUCGGUAUUGUAUUUCUUGUUGCUUGUAGCAGAUACGACUGGUAUGCAUUUUGUUAUUAUUUUUUUCUUUAAUAGAAGGCAAGCUGGGGACUGGUCCAUUUGCAAAAGCAGCAAUGCAACCACAAGCAAGCUGAGGAGGUAAUAUAUAUGUUUCUCUUGGCUAUUGCUACGUGAUACUAUUUCUUUGUUGUUUGACUUUGGAAGGAACCAAUUGAUCCAUUUCUGUUCAGAUUAAUUUCUGGUGUAUACUAGUGUAGUAUCAGUUAUCAGUAUAUCAACUGCUUAUAAGAUGCAUUUUAAUUUUUAAGAUUUUGCACCCUAUUUCUGCCGGAUACUUCUUUCAUGGCUACUGUACCAAAAUAUGUGCAUAAUACUUACAUUGAUGACACUUUCUAAAUGCAACAGUAUAUACUUAUGUUACAAAUAAAAAAUAAUAUAUAUAUAUUUCUUUCGGAAGUACUAUAUAAUUCUUUAAUUGCCAAACAGUAUACGUCAUCUCAGUAUCUCAUUGAACACCGGCCAGUAAAUAACUACUGAUUUGAGUCAUUACAGAAAUCAUGUUACAAACCACUAGCUACAUAGUACAAUGGUACAGAUGAAAGGGCACAAAUGCUCGCAGCCUUCAGUUUGCCAAGGCAUUUCUGUUUUGUUAGCAGCCCAAAUAUUUAGUAAAUACAGUGUGCUUCAUUAACAUCUCCUCUCCUCUCCUGCUUAUGCAAACAGAAUGGUCGUUCGGAUGGCGAGUGUGUUUGCUUGCGCAAUGUUGAUUUACAUAUAUUUUGAUUAUAGAAACCAAGUCAUCAUACAAAAACCAAAAAAAUAAAUCCCUUUCUUCUUGAAGAUGCCGCCAUCUUUCUUCUUCUAUUCUGUUCUCUUUUCCUUGCUCCUCUCUUUAUGAUGCUUCAUCUUAUACUUUAUGUCCUGUUCUCUUUUACUUUGUUCUGCUUGCUCCUUAACAAAAGCAUGGAACCAGGAACUGAACAGUUACUCCCCAUUAAUAGAACCCAAAAUAUGUCCUUUUUUGCUGCGUUAUGUGAUUCAUGUUAGUAGUGGGAUUUGUUGCUUUUGCACAACACGCCACACGUUCAACAUUUUGUGCUUGUCUUUGGAUAGAUAUGCCAACUGCCUAGCUGAGAAGCCACUGACUAUUACAAGUACAUAGUUCUAGUAAGGGACAGUGAAUUGUACAUGUUCCUGUUUUGUCAUAUUUGCCCAUGGAAGAUUUUUGUAUGCGCAGUGCAAAUAAUUCUUGUUUGAUCAAAUUAUGUAAUAUUGCCUCAUGCUUGCUGUGAUGAUGAAGUGCUGCACAUAUGGAAGUUUUAUUUAAAAUCCAACAUGUCCAAAUUGUUAAUGUGUCAGAUUUAAAAUCUGAAAUAAGAGCUUCAUUUUGAAUUUUUGAUCUGUUGCAGGUGCCUCAAAGAUACACAAGUUGAUCUACAGGCUGCCCUGAAGAUUUGGGAGACCUACGACUAAGUUGGUGGAGUGAAAUUGUAAUAAGCCUUGUUUGUUGAACCUGGAGAUAUUGGGACGUUUUACGCUCAUUUUGUUUUUUGUUUUGGCACAUAAGUCACAAGUUUUACUCUCAUUUUGAUUGUGUUGCACAUCCAGAAACAUAUGUUCUUUUCCUUUUUGUUGCACGUCCUUGUAUAUUGUUGUCUCAUGAAUGUAUCAAAGGAAAAUACAUAUUUUCUCUAUUAUGUUUAUCGAAUGAAGUUUAAGAUUUUGGAUGAGGCCUAUAUGUAAUGUUGAUUGAAGUUUAUCUAUAAGUUGUAUGAUCUAUCUUGAUUGCUUAAUCACGCAGUGGUAAUACUAAAUUAUGUAUAUGUUGCUCAGAACGUUUGCUAGUGAAACAUAACGUUAUGGCAUAUAAACUGCCGGGUG
This 2910-nucleotide long non-coding RNA is filed under the name Triticum aestivum (bread wheat). RNAcentral describes it as "long non-coding RNA (TAES_LNC010876)". The record is from RNAcentral. Lineage: Eukaryota; Viridiplantae; Streptophyta; Magnoliopsida; Poales; Poaceae.